AAGGCUAAAUACUCGAUAUCGACCGAUAGUGAACCAGUACCGUGAGGGAAAGGCGAAAAGAACCCCGGAAGGGGAGUGAAAUAGAACCUGAAACCGUGUGCAUACAAACAGUAGGAGCGGACUUGUUUCGUGACUGCGUACCUUUUGUAUAAUGGGUCAGCGACUUACAUUCAGUGGCAAGGUUAACCGUAUAGGGAAGCCGUAGAGAAAUCGAGUCCGAAUAGGGCGACAGUCGCUGGGUGUAGACCCGAAACC
RNAcentral lists this ribosomal RNA (255 nucleotides) under Affinundibacterium seohonense. RNAcentral describes it as "partial 23S ribosomal RNA". It matches the Rfam family "Bacterial large subunit ribosomal RNA", at positions 462 to 722 of the family's 2925-position model. The record is from RNAcentral. Lineage: Bacteria; Pseudomonadati; Pseudomonadota; Betaproteobacteria; Burkholderiales; Oxalobacteraceae.